UUUUUCUGUACUUAAAUGGAGGGGAGAGCGUUGCUACAGCAUUACGAGCUACGGGGCUGAAUGGUCCACAUCUUUGUUUCAGGGAUUUGGUGAGUCAUUUCAUAUAUAAUCAGUUCUACACGGUGGUGACACUUUAACUUUGUUCUUGCAGAAAUCCAUUUAAAAUGUUCUGUUAAAAUUCAUCUGAACAUUUUUUAUGCGCUCAGGGAGGCAACAAUUCAAAACCUGUAGCAGCUUAUUCGUGUAGGUCAGGGCGGCCCUCUGGGAACGGGAUAGCCCACCACUGGUGUAGAACAUAGUGUGAGUAAACAAGAACACAAAUAUGCCCAGUUUGAACAAUUUAAUGUGAACACAGGAGAUCAGCAAACUGUAGAUAAUAGUAGCACACACCGAGUCGAACCACAUCAGUCCUCAACACAUGAAGCUACAGACACUAUUCACAUAUUUAUGGAGUAUAAAAAACAAAAAAAGAAAACACCUUUACAUGGCAGGAUGUGUUAACCAUUGAUGUCUGCUGUGGGACUGAUGUUUUUAUAUAGGUCCAGAGGUCAAUUACAGACAGUUCACCUGACCGAUGUUGAGCCCUGAGUGCCGCUGAGUCAGCAGGAGCAGCAUGUGGUUGUAAGGGACUGGCACAGUCACUGUGGUAAUGUUGACCGAUACAAGGUGAGCAGUCUAACAGUCCCUGUGUUCGAGUCGGGAAGGAAUACACUGGUAGUAUGGCCUCAGGGAUUAGAGAGGACACUGGGUGAUACAAAGCCAUUAGUACAAUGUAUUUAGAGUUUUUGUAAAUUACCUCAGAAGUAACUGUUUAGAAAAAUAAGUUCUGAGAUUAAGGCGAUUGUAAAUAAAGCUGGUGUGAUCGAUGCCUACGUGUAAUGGCUUUCACAAAUCAAAUCUGAAAUAAAGGUAUUAAAGGUCCUUAGUCCUGAUUCCCUGUCCAUACAGUAUAUACUACAAGCAUUGUUAAAAAGAGGCUGACGUGAUGGAAGCAUUGU
Molecule: long non-coding RNA, 998 nt
Organism: Monopterus albus (swamp eel)
Lineage: Eukaryota; Metazoa; Chordata; Actinopteri; Synbranchiformes; Synbranchidae
Exons: 2
Source: RefSeq, a predicted model, not a curated record